RNAcentral lists this ribosomal RNA (345 nucleotides) under Pasteurella caballi. RNAcentral's name for it is "bacterial SSU rRNA". It matches the Rfam family "Bacterial small subunit ribosomal RNA", at positions 975 to 1320 of the family's 1533-position model. Lineage: Bacteria; Pseudomonadati; Pseudomonadota; Gammaproteobacteria; Pasteurellales; Pasteurellaceae. The record is from RNAcentral.
CUACUCUUGACAUCCAAAGAAGAACUCAGAGAUGAGUUUGUGCCUUCGGGAGCUUUGAGACAGGUGCUGCAUGGCUGUCGUCAGCUCGUGUUGUGAAAUGUUGGGUUAAGUCCCGCAACGAGCGCAACCCUUAUCCUUUGUUGCCAGCGAUUAGGUCGGGAACUCAAAGGAGACUGCCAGUGAUAAACUGGAGGAAGGUGGGGAUGACGUCAAGUCAUCAUGGCCCUUACGAGUAGGGCUACACACGUGCUACAAUGGUGCAUACAGAGGGCGGCGAACCUGCGAGGGUGAGCGAAUCUCAGAAAGUGCAUCGUAGUCCGGAUUGGAGUCUGCAACUCGACUCCA